UGUUUUCCCGAUUUCAAAGGGGCUAAUAAUUUAUUUUGUUUAUUGUGGAAUAAAUAUCGAUAAUAGGUUGUUAGUGAUGAGAUGUUAUUCGUCUUUGAGGGUCUCUGGUUUUCCAAGAAAUGAAUUUAAUUCAUGUGCGUUGUUUAGUUGAUCUUUAUUUUACGGUUUUCUUUAUUUGGCACUAAUGUUUUGGGGGAUUAGCUUCAUGACAUAAUUUUAUAAUAUUGUUCUUAUUAAUUUUUGUGGGUUUUAUGGUAACUAUCAUUUUAAGUGUGUUAUAACUUUAUUUAGUUUUUGGUUUGAUUUAUGUUGAAUUUAAGUUUUAUAUUGGAAUAUUUAUUAUAAUUAUUUAUUUUUCGUAAUAAUGGUGGAAUUAGUAAAUUAAAUUUUUAAAAAUUAAUGAGAAACCAGUUAGGUUUAUUUAGGGAACUAGGCAAAAUUUUUGUGCCCGCCUGUUUAACAAAAACAUCUCUUCUUGGAAUUAAUUUGAAGUAUUACCUGCCCGCUGGAGUUUUUGAAGGGCCGCGGUAUAUUGACCGUGCAAAGGUAGCAUAAUCAUUAGUCUUUUAAUUGAGGGCUGGAAUGAAUGGUUUGACGAGGCACAUACUGUCCCUUUGAAAUGUUAUUGAAUUUGGUUUUUAAGUUAAAACACUUAAAUGUUUGUAUGGGACGAGAAGACCCUAUAGAGUUUUACCGGUAUAUAAUUGUUUAUGUUUGUUGAUUUUGAAGAUGAAUUAUUUUCUGGUUUGGUUGGGGUGAUUAGAGGAUAUAAUAAACUCCUCUUUAUUGGUGAUAUAUUUAUUUAUAUUUAAAUGAU
Molecule: ribosomal RNA, 817 nt
Filed under: Mastotermes darwiniensis (giant northern termite)
Lineage: Eukaryota; Metazoa; Arthropoda; Insecta; Blattodea; Mastotermitidae
Description: partial 16S ribosomal RNA
Rfam family: Archaeal large subunit ribosomal RNA (bases 411-656)
Source: RNAcentral